GGAAAUUAAUGCUCUUUUAGUAUUUGUCCAGCAGGUUUUCUCAAUGAGAAAGCCCCC
Molecule: small nuclear RNA, 57 nt
Filed under: Esox lucius (northern pike)
Lineage: Eukaryota; Metazoa; Chordata; Actinopteri; Esociformes; Esocidae
Description: U7 small nuclear RNA (ENSELUG00000035843.1)
Rfam family: U7 small nuclear RNA
About the family: Animal histone pre-mRNAs are spliced by a different mechanism than nuclear pre-mRNAs and self-splicing introns. This processing involves the U7 snRNP, which contains only one RNA species: U7.
Source: Rfam by way of RNAcentral